Molecule: long non-coding RNA, 1237 nt
Organism: Frieseomelitta varia
Lineage: Eukaryota; Metazoa; Arthropoda; Insecta; Hymenoptera; Apidae
Exons: 3
Source: RefSeq, a predicted model, not a curated record
UACUAAUUUACAACUUGUCAAUUCACUAAUAUCAUUAAUUAAUAAGUAUGUAAUUGUGCAAGGAGUGCAUAUGCAAAAAUUCGAAAUAAGAAAGCUAAAACUGAAAUCUAUUAAUCAAGUUCUUAUGUGCUAAAUCAAAUUUAUUUGAAAGUUCUUUAUGUAAUUGUAAUUGUAAGGAUUGAAUGUUGCAGAAAUGAAAUCAAAAGGAGAAACCUAACUGAAUGAUGACCAAAAAGAGGAAUCUGAUCAAAAAAGAAAUUUAUCGAAAAAAGUAAUUACAUGGAAGUACUUUUGUACAAACGAGGAAAUAUAUAACAAAUAUCAGUGCAAUACAUUAUGCAAUUAUUGCGUUCUUUCGUAUACAUUAUCAUCUAAGCAAAUUUCUAGUUUAUCUUUGUAUUAAUGGUUUUACGGGUCAGCGGACUGCAACGUAAUUAACUGCUGCUUCCAGUGCAUGAAAAGAAGAUGAAUCAAUAUAAUUUUUUCAUUAUACAAUGCUUUGUUUUAGUUCCCCGACGUACUUCUCUUAUAUCGUAUUAAUUGCGACAAUUACGAUUAAAACACUAUUACGUUUAUUUUACAUUUAUGUUACUAGCUGAAUUAAUAAUGAUCGAUAUACUUCGUGUACAGACCAUUUACAAGAAAAAAAAUUUGGCACUUCUACGAAAGGUAUGAACAAUGGAAGAAAUAUGAUAACCAUCAACAUUGGCCCUGAGGAACACGAAGAAAUGAUUAAAAUUGCUGUCGAAAAAGAUUAUAUGCCUACCCUAUGUCUACUCGUCUCAGCUGAAGGUCAAGUUCAAAUGUUUCACAGACAUUAUCAUGAGAACUAUCGUUAGAUUAUUCUACGAAGUUUAAUAAUUUUCCAUAGUUCAUAACAUAUACCUGAACGCUCUUGAACAAUUACUAACUAAUUUACUAACUAAUAAUAUAUAUUAGUGACUGGACAAAUUACAAAGUUGAAUAACGAUUGUGCGCCAAAUUUGAAAAUACAAUUGGUGACAUAUUGGCGAUACACCUAAUUUGAAUGGACACAUUGAUGGCUGUAUUUUAAAUGAUAUUUUUAGAUUGAGGGAGUUCCCAAAUUCGAAAUGUCGAAACGGUGUCACUCAUUAGCUUGGAUUCCUUUCACUUGGUUUCUUUCUUAAAAUAUCAAUAAGAUAUUCAUCAUGUGUGGGUUGGUAAAAGAAGUACUUGGAUAUAUUUGACUGUCAAAUUUUUCUACUGAAUAAUAUAC